UAGAUCGCUCUAUCAUGCAGUCGAGCGGACGGUGAGGAGCUUGCUCCUCUGUUUUAGCGGCGGACGGGUGAGUAACACGUGGGUAAUCUGCCUGUAAGACGGGGAUAACUCCGGGAAACCGGGGCUAAUACCGGAUAAUUCCAUGAAACGCAUGUCUUCUUUUUGAAAGACGGUUUCGGCUGACACUUACAGAUGAACCCGCGGCGCAUUAGCUAGUUGGUGAGGUAACGGCUCACCAAGGCGACGAUGCGUAGCCGACCUGAGAGGGUGAUCGGCCACACUGGGACUGAGACACGGCCCAGACUCCUACGGGAGGCAGCAGUAGGGAAUCUUCCGCAAUGGACGAAAGCCUGACCGAGCAACGCCGCGUGAGCGAUGAAGGCCUUCGGAUCGUAAAGCUCUGUUGUUAGAGAAGAACAAGUGCAAGAGUAACUGCUCGUACCUUGACGGUACCUAACCAGAAAGCCACGGCUAACUACGUGCCAGCAGCCGCGGUAAUACGUAGGUGGCAAGCGUUAUCCGGAAUUAUUGGGCGUAAAGGGCUCGCAGGCGGUCUCUUAAGUCUGAUGUGAAAGCCCACGGCUCAACCGUGGAGGGUCAUUGGAAACUGGGAGACUUGAGUGCAGAAGAGAAGAGUGGAAUUCCACGUGUAGCGGUGAAAUGCGUAGAGAUGUGGAGGAACACCAGUGGCGAAGGCGACUUUUUGGUCUGUAACUGACGCUGAGGAGCGAAAGCGUGGGGAGCAAACAGGAUUAGAUACCCUGGUAGUCCACGCCGUAAACGAUGAGUGCUAAGUGUUGGGGGGUUUCCCCCCUCAGUGCGGAGCUGAUCACAUUUUACACUCUCCCUGGGGGAGUACGAGCGUCACGGUAGAGACUCACAGGAGUAGUGAGGGGGCGCGCGCAAAAGCUGGUAGCAUGUGUGUUAUUUCUAAGAAACACGCGGAGCCUCUCCACCGUGUUGUGAUCCUCUUGACCACUCUCUAGAUAGUAGCUUUCUCCCUCUCGGGGACAAAGUGACAGUGGUGCAUGGUGUCGUCAGCUCGUGUCGUGAGAUGUGGUUAGUCCGCACGAGCGCACCCUGAUCUAGUGGCAGCAUCAGUGGCACUCUAGGUGACUGCCGUGACAACCGAGAGUGGGGAUGACGUCAAUCAUCAAUGGCCCUAUGACUGCUCAACGUCUCAAUGUAGAUAGAAGGUUGAC
This 1202-nucleotide ribosomal RNA is filed under the name Bacillus sp. (in: firmicutes). RNAcentral's name for it is "Bacillus sp. (in: Bacteria) partial 16S ribosomal RNA". It matches the Rfam family "Bacterial small subunit ribosomal RNA", at positions 40 to 1251 of the family's 1533-position model. Lineage: Bacteria; Bacillati; Bacillota; Bacilli; Caryophanales; Bacillaceae. The record is from RNAcentral.